CAUGGUGGAUGCCUUGGCAGACAGGACCGAUGAAGGACGCGUGGGGCCGCGAUAGGCCUCGGGGAGCCGCCGACAGGGCUUUGAUCCGAGGGUGUCCGAAUGGGGUAACCCGCCGGCCGUGAUGGGCCGGCACCGCAUUCGUGCGGGGGGUACGCAGGGAAGUGAAACAUCUCAGUACCUGCAGGAAAGGAUAUUCCGUGAGUAGUGGCGAGCGAAAGCGGAUGAUGGCCAAACCGGUGCCGUGUGAGACCCGUCGGGGGUUGCGGCAUGGGUGUUGUGGGACUUGGCGUCCGGGCUCCGACGGGCCCGGCGGCAGUGAUAAAGCGGCGUGUGAGGCGAACGGGAUUGAAUUCCCGGCCGUAGAGGGUGAUGGCCCCGUAGCCGAAGGCGCGCCGCCUGCCGGUUCUUGUUCCCAAGUAGCGCGGGACUCGUGGAAUCCCGUGUGAAUCGGCCCCGACCGUGGGGUAAGCCUGAAUAUUCCUGUCUGACCGAUAGCGUACGAGUACCGUGAGGGAAAGGUGAAAAGCACCCCGGGAGGGGAGUGAAACAGUUUCUGAAACCGUGUGCCUACAAUCCGUCGGAGCCUUUCGGGGUGACGGCGUGCCUAUCGAAAAAUGAGUCUGCGAGUCAGUGGUGCGUGGCGAGGCUAACCCGUGUGGGGCAGCCGUAGCGAAAGCGAGUCCGAUAAGGGCGUUUUGAGUCGCGUGUCCUGGACCCGAAGCGGGAUGAUCUAGCCCUGGGCAGGUUGAAGCGCGGGUAAGACCGCGUGGAGGACCGAACGGACCUGGGUUGAAAACCGGGCCGAUGACCUGGGGCUAGGGGUGAAAGGCCAAUCAAAUUCCGUGAUAGCUGGUUCUCUCCGAAAUGCAUUUCGGUGCAGCGUCGCGUGAGUGCCUCCAUGGGGUAGAGCUACUGGAUGCUUGAGGGCCCGUAUCGGGUACCGACAGCAGCCAAACUCCGAAUACGUGUGAGGUGUAUCGCGGCAGUGAGUCGGCGGGGGAUAAGCUCCGUCGUCGAGAGGGAGACAGCCCAGAUCGUCGUCUAAGGUCCCCAAGCGCGUGCUAAGUGGGAAAGGAUGUGGAGUCGCAUAGACAGCCAGGAGGUUGGCUCAGAAGCAGCCAUCCUUGAAAGAGUGCGUAACAGCUCACUGGUCUAGUGGUUCCGCGCCGAUAAUGUAGCGGGGCUCAAGCACGCCACCGAAGACGCGGCAGCGCAGUUCGCUGUGCUGGGUAGGAGAGCGUUCCGCGUGGGGUGAAGCGGCGGCGUGAGCCGGCCGUGGACCGCGUGGAAGUGAGAAUGCAGACAUGAGUAGCGAGAGGCGGGUGAGAAUCCCGUCCGCUGGAUGACCAAGGGUUCCGGGGCCACGUUCGUCGUCCCCGGGUGAGUCGGGUCCUAAGGCGAGGCCGACAGGCGUAGUCGAAUGGAUGAAGGAGUCGAUAUUCUCCUACCGGCGUCAAGCCGUCCAAUCCAAGACGCGGAAGCGUGCCCUUACCUGUGUCGGGUGGCGGUCUUCGGACCGUCCGAUGGCAUGGGACCGGCGUGUGGAUGCGUGGCGGGUAGCGCGGGAGUGACACGGAACGGGAGCCGGGCCGCGGUGGUGGUUAUCCGUGGUCAAGCAUGCGGCGCGUCGGGCAGGCAAAUCCGCCCGGCAUGAGCGCGAGGUGUGAUGAUGGGGGGUCUUGUGCCCCGAAUCCGGUGUGCCGUUCCGUCAAGAAAAGCUUCGGUGCGAGGGCUGUCGCCGCCCGUACCCUAAACCGACACUGGUGGUCAGGUAGAGUAUACCAAAGCGAUCGAGCGAAUCCUGGUCAAGGAACUCGGCAAAUCACUCCCGUGCCUUCGGUAUAAGGGAGACCCCUUGCGGUGAGGCGCCCAGCGCGCGGAGCCGAGGGGGGUGGCACAGACCAGGGGGUAGCGACUGUUUACCAAAAACACAGGUGCAUGCGAAGACGAAAGUCGCUGUAUAUGCACUGACGCCUGCCCGGUGCCGGAAGGUUAAGAGGAUCCGUCAUCCCUCUUCGGAGGGGGCAGCGGUGAAUUCAAGCCCCGGUAAACGGCGGUGGUAACUAUAACCAUCCUAAGGUAGCGAAAUUCCUUGUCGGGUAAGUUCCGACCUGCACGAAUGGCGUAACGACUUCCCCACUGUCUCGAC
This 2149-nucleotide ribosomal RNA is filed under the name insect metagenome. RNAcentral's name for it is "bacterial LSU rRNA". It matches the Rfam family "Bacterial large subunit ribosomal RNA", at positions 20 to 2025 of the family's 2925-position model. The record is from RNAcentral.